Rhea pennata is the source of this 402-nucleotide long non-coding RNA. RefSeq lists it as uncharacterized. The record is from RefSeq and is a predicted model, not a curated record. NCBI's taxonomy places the organism in Eukaryota, Metazoa, Chordata, Aves, Rheiformes, Rheidae. The transcript is spliced from 3 exons.
AAAUAGUGUUACUUGCUCCUCUUGCUAUUUGAGAGGCCCUCAACCAGGGAUGGAGUUUGGCAGUGGAACAUCCUUCAGACAGAGCAGGGAGCAGCAGUGGAAAUGAAAAAGAGCCCGCUGGACCCGUCGAGAGCCGACAGCGCGUGGGGAACGUGGCCGGGGAGCCCUGCGGCCCCUCCGUACCCCUGGGGGAUGCUGAAGCCCUCCAUGCGGAGAGCGGUCCCGGCCCACGGCACCCUUCUCUCAAAAGCUACCUGACCUUUAACUGGUGUUUGCUCUGCCUUCCCGGCUGAAUAAUUGGCCGCCGUUAUCCGCAAACAGGCAAAUUAAUGUUUCUCCCUGAUUUAUGAAUUGAGAUCCGUGAGAUCUUGGUAUCAACAAAUUACUGAGUUAAGCCGUGGG